RNAcentral lists this non-coding RNA (26 nucleotides) under Cricetulus griseus (Chinese hamster). The record is from RNAcentral. Lineage: Eukaryota; Metazoa; Chordata; Mammalia; Rodentia; Cricetidae.
ACAUUGGCACUGAGUAGGACAAGACC